GACGAACGCUGGCGGCGUGCUUAACACAUGCAAGUCGAACGGAAAGGCCCUGCUUGCAGGGUACUCGAGUGGCGAACGGGUGAGUAACACGUGGGUGAUCUGCCCUGCACUUCGGGAUAAGCUUGGGAAACUGGGUCUAAUACCGGAUAGGACCGCACUUUAGUGUGUGUGGUGGAAAGUUUUUUCGGUGUAGGAUGAGCUCGCGGCCUAUCAGCUUGUUGGUGGGGUAAUGGCCUACCAAGGCGGCGACGGGUAGCCGGCCUGAGAGGGUGUACGGCCACAUUGGGACUGAGAUACGGCCCAGACGCCUACGGGAGGCAGCAGUGGGGAAUAUUGCACAAUGGGCGCAAGCCUGAUGCAGCGACGCCGCGUGGGGGAUGAAGGCCUUCGGGUUGUAAACUCCUUUCGCUAGGGACGAAGCUUUUUGUGACGGUACCUAGAGAAGAAGCACCGGCUAACUACGUG
Molecule: ribosomal RNA, 465 nt
Filed under: uncultured bacterium
Lineage: Bacteria
Description: partial 16S ribosomal RNA
Rfam family: Bacterial small subunit ribosomal RNA
Source: RNAcentral